This 627-nucleotide ribosomal RNA is filed under the name Dysopirhinus cf. grandis MB-2015. RNAcentral's name for it is "SSU rRNA". It matches the Rfam family "Eukaryotic small subunit ribosomal RNA", at positions 6 to 611 of the family's 1831-position model. Lineage: Eukaryota; Metazoa; Arthropoda; Insecta; Coleoptera; Curculionidae. The record is from RNAcentral.
GGUUGAUCCUGCCAGUAGUCAUAUGCUUGUCUCAAAGAUUAAGCCAUGCAUGUCUCAGUACAAGCCAAAUUAAGGUGAAACCGCGAAAGGCUCAUUAAAUCAGUUAUGGUUCCUUAGAUCGUACCCACAAUUACUUGGAUAACUGUGGUAAUUCUAGAGCUAAUACAUGCAAACAGAGCUCCGACCGGAGACGGAAGGAGUGCUUUUAUUAGAUCAAAACCAAUCGGUGGCGGGCUUGCUCGUCAUCGUACAACUUGGUGACUCUGAAUAACUUUACGCUGAUCGCACGGUCAUCGCACCGGCGACGCAUCUUUCAAAUGUCUGCCUUAUCAACUGUCGAUGGUAGGUUCUGCGCCUACCAUGGUUGUAACGGGUAACGGGGAAUCAGGGUUCGAUUCCGGAGAGGGAGCCUGAGAAACGGCUACCACAUCCAAGGAAGGCAGCAGGCGCGCAAAUUACCCACUCCCGGCACGGGGAGGUAGUGACGAAAAAUAACGAUACGGGACUCAUCCGAGGCCCCGUAAUCGGAAUGAGUACACUCUAAACCCUUUAACGAGGAUCAAUUGGAGGGCAAGUCUGGUGCCAGCAGCCGCGGUAAUUCCAGCUCCAAUAGCGUAUAUUAAAGUU